This 338-nucleotide ribosomal RNA is filed under the name uncultured bacterium. RNAcentral's name for it is "bacterial SSU rRNA". It matches the Rfam family "Bacterial small subunit ribosomal RNA", at positions 32 to 361 of the family's 1533-position model. The record is from RNAcentral.
AAUCAACGCUGGCGGCGUGCCUCAGACAUGCAAGUCGAACGAUUAAAGCUCUCUUCGGAGAGUGUAUAGAGUGGCGCACGGGUGAGUAACACGUAAGUAAUCUACCUUUGAGUGGGGAAUAACAGUCGGAAACGACUGCUAAUACCGCAUAAUGCAGCGGCACCGCAAGGUGACAGUUGUUAAAGGAGCAAUUCGCUUAAAGAGGAGCUUGCGGCAGAUAGCUUGUUGGUAAGGUAACGGCUUACCAAGGCUACGAUCUGUAUCCGGUCUUAGAGGACGGUCGGACACACUGACACUGAAUAACGGGUCAGACUCCUACGGGAGGCAGCAGUCGGGAA